GACGUAGGGCGCGAGCGUUGUCCGGAUUUAUUGGGCGUAAAGAGCUCGUAGGCGGCUUGUCGCGUCGACUGUGAAAACCCGCGGCUCAACUGCGGGCCUGCAGCCGAUACGGGCAGGCUAGAGUUCGGUAGGGGAGACUGGAAUUCCUGGUGUAGCGGUGAAAUGCGCAGAUAUCAGGAGGAACACCCGUAGCGAAGGCGGCACUCUGGGCCGGAACUGACGCUGAGGGGCGAAAGCGUGGGGAGCGAACAGG
RNAcentral lists this ribosomal RNA (253 nucleotides) under uncultured bacterium. RNAcentral describes it as "partial 16S ribosomal RNA". It matches the Rfam family "Bacterial small subunit ribosomal RNA", at positions 524 to 776 of the family's 1533-position model. The record is from RNAcentral.